CCUACGUGUCUACCCUUAUUUUAACCUGCCUACCCUAGCACUUUUUAUUUAAUUUUCAAACAAGAAUUUAAAUCUUAGGAAACAUUGCCAUACACAAGGAAAACAACAUUAAUGUUUAAUUAAUACAAUAGUUAACCCAUGCAAAAAAGGCUGAAAUGAGCCUGAAAAGGCACACAUUUAAGGCUCGAACAACUCUGAAAAAAAUAGGACUUAUCCACAAAUUCUGCCCCAAGUUUUCACUCCUCAAAAUUUGGAGGAAAAUAAUUAACUGAGAUUAAUACCGUUCAGGGUGAAAUUGAUAUUUAUUUUGGCUCAGGCUUAUUUGUCUAAGACCUUAUAAUUAAAUCCCUUUGUUAUGAUAGUUUACCUUUCAACACUUAAAGUACAUGUAAACAUGUAAAUCUACUAUGUAUUUAACAUAUCUUUGAAUUUAGGGUUUUAGAGUUAACUGGAACAAUUAAGGGCUGUAUGUAAGUUGAAAAUUGUCCAGUAAAUGUAUCCCAGUUUAUCAGUAGUGUUUUGUUGUACGAUGUCAAUUUGGUCGCUCUAUCUUUUUAUUCCCCCAUUUGUAAACAAAGAAUUCAAGGGUUAUAUGAUACUACAGACAGAUAGGACUGACUCUGGUUCAGCAGUAUGAGUCAGAAACUUUGAAAAUAAGAACGCGGUGUUUGCAAGACUUGUUACUUGGUUUGAAAAUUUGAAAUGUAGUUUCAAAGCAAUGUUUGGACUUUUUCAUUUGAAGUUUUGAUAAUAUGAUGAAAUACCUUACUUUGAUGAACAUUCUGAAAUAAUUAAAUAAACUGUCUGUUGAAAUCAACAUUCUGUGUGUAAAAAAAGCUGAAACGAGUGAUUCAGUUAGUUAUAAUGGACCUUUUUUUGAAUGCUCUGAACUACUGAACAGGUUAAACUCUUGCACCACGGCAAAAUUUACGUUGAACAGAAGAUCCUAAGGAAAGUGUGCACAUCGGCUGACAAAAAUGGAGCAAAAGGGGAUGUUACCUCAUGAUGUAUGGACUUUUAGAAAAGGUUUUUACCCUGCACAAGUUUGCCAGCUCAAGGGGAACAGGAGUGGGAAAACCGCACCCUGGUGAUGAGCAUAUACCUGUCCUUGACCAAGACAAGCUGGAUUUGUUGAGAGACACUGUGGAGUAAGAACGGCGGCAAAUGCGGCGUGUGUGGUGACAACUUUGCAGUCAAUCCAAGACCCAACGAACCAGGCGGCAAGUUUUAUACAGGGAUCAUCGUACGCAAAUAUGACGUCGCUCAGGUGAUUGACGUCGCCGUUCACUUGACGGCCAAUCACAAAGUCAAAGGGAUACAUUUUACAAAGAGAAUACAUAUUUGGCACCGGUAUGCGGAAAGUUAAUCCAGUGCGGCAUAGAAGGUGCAAAACGAGCGGAUAUCAAAAUGUCUAUAAGGUCACUGCCUUAUAAGGUUGGUUUGAGUUUCGUCUUUGCAAAAAUGACGCCGCAAACAAAACUCUAGAGCAAGCUUGCUUUGACCAACACAUCUUGCAAGACAACCGAGGAGUGAAACGGUUUGAAAUCAGCAUGGGUAUG
Dreissena polymorpha is the source of this 1559-nucleotide long non-coding RNA. RefSeq lists it as uncharacterized. NCBI's taxonomy places the organism in Eukaryota, Metazoa, Mollusca, Bivalvia, Myida, Dreissenidae. The transcript has 5 exons. The record is from RefSeq and is a predicted model, not a curated record.